CAAAGGGCUCUUUUAAGAGCCACCCACAUUAUUAUUGAGCAAAUUU
Non-coding RNA from Gasterosteus aculeatus (three-spined stickleback), 46 nucleotides. The record is from Rfam. Lineage: Eukaryota; Metazoa; Chordata; Actinopteri; Perciformes; Gasterosteidae.